This 253-nucleotide ribosomal RNA is filed under the name uncultured bacterium. RNAcentral's name for it is "partial 16S ribosomal RNA". It matches the Rfam family "Bacterial small subunit ribosomal RNA", at positions 524 to 776 of the family's 1533-position model. The record is from RNAcentral.
UACGUAGGGUGCAAGCGUUGUCCGGAAUUAUUGGGCGUAAAGAGCUCGUAGGCGGUUUGUCGCGUCGAAUGUGAAAACUCGGAGCUCAACUCCGAGCCUGCUUCCGAUACGGGCAGACUAGAGGUAGGCAGGGGAGAGCGGAACUCCUGGUGUAGCGGUGGAAUGCGCAGAUAUCAGGAAGAACACCGGUGGCGAAGGCGGCUCUCUGGGCCUUACCUGACGCUGAGGAGCGAAAGCGUGGGUAGCGAACAGG